This 484-nucleotide ribosomal RNA is filed under the name uncultured bacterium. RNAcentral's name for it is "partial 16S ribosomal RNA". It matches the Rfam family "Bacterial small subunit ribosomal RNA", at positions 28 to 507 of the family's 1533-position model. The record is from RNAcentral.
AUUGAACGCUGGCGGCAUGCUUUACACAUGCAAGUCGAACGGCAGCGCGGGCUUCGGCCUGGCGGCGAGUGGCGAACGGGUGAGUAAUGCAUCGGAACGUGCCCAGUAGUGGGGGAUAGCCCGGCGAAAGCCGGAUUAAUACCGCAUACGACCUGAGGGUGAAAGCGGGGGACCGAAAGGCCUCGCGCUAUUGGAGCGGCCGAUGUCGGAUUAGCUAGUUGGUGGGGUAAAGGCUUACCAAGGCGACGAUCCGUAGCUGGUCUGAGAGGACGACCAGCCACACUGGGACUGAGACACGGCCCAGACUCCUACGGGAGGCAGCAGUGGGGAAUUUUGGACAAUGGGGGCAACCCUGAUCCAGCCAUGCCGCGUGCGGGAAGAAGGCCUUCGGGUUGUAAACCGCUUUUGUUCGGGAAGAAAUCCUCUGGGCUAAUACCCCGGGGGGAUGACGGUACCGGAAGAAUAAGCACCGGCGAACUACGUG